RNAcentral lists this ribosomal RNA (460 nucleotides) under uncultured bacterium. RNAcentral describes it as "partial 16S ribosomal RNA". It matches the Rfam family "Bacterial small subunit ribosomal RNA", at positions 338 to 795 of the family's 1533-position model. The record is from RNAcentral.
CCUACGGGUGGCAGCAGUGAGGAAUAUUGGUCAAUGGGCGAGAGCCUGAACCAGCCAAGUCGCGUGAAGGAUGAAGGAUCUAUGGUUUGUAAACUUCUUUUAUAUGGGAAUAAAAUGUUCCACGUGUGGGAUUUUGUAUGUACCAUAUGAAUAAGGAUCGGCUAACUCCGUGCCAGCAGCCGCGGUAAUACGGAGGAUCCGAGCGUUAUCCGGAUUUAUUGGGUUUAAAGGGAGCGUAGGUGGAUUGUUAAGUCAGUUGUGAAAGUUUGCGGCUCAACCGUAAAAUUGCAGUUGAAACUGGCAGUCUUGAGUACAGUAGAGGUGGGCGGAAUUCGUGGUGUAGCGGUGAAAUGCUUAGAUAUCACGAAGAACUCCGAUUGCGAAGGCAGCUCACUGGACUGCAACUGACACUGAGGCUCGAAAGUGUGGGUAUCAAACAGGAUUAGAUACCCUGGUAGUC